This 200-nucleotide long non-coding RNA is filed under the name Carica papaya (papaya). RNAcentral's name for it is "long non-coding RNA (CPAP_LNC016616)". Lineage: Eukaryota; Viridiplantae; Streptophyta; Magnoliopsida; Brassicales; Caricaceae. The record is from RNAcentral.
UUUAUAUUUUUAGAAUCCUUUUUUUUUCUACUUCUGAAAAUUCCUCUAAUGUUAAAUAAACUCUCUACAGCAUGAUUUUGCAUUCAAAUUCUAACUUACACAAGCUGGGUCAUUACAUUUACACAAUUUUUUUUUUUAAAAUAGUUUGCUAAUUUUAAUUACAGCCUUGGUGCUUGUCGAAUGUGAGGAAUUCAUAAAAG